GAUGAACGCUGGCGGCGUGCUUAACACAUGCGAGUCGAACGGAAAGGCCCAAGCUUGCUUGGGUACUCGAGUGGCGAACGGGUGAGUAACACGUGGGUGAUCUGCCCUGCACUUCGGGAUAAGCCUGGGAAACUGGGUCUAAUACUGGAUAGGACCACUUCUUGGAUGGUGUGGUGGAAAGUUUUUUCGGUGUGGGAUGAGCUCGCGGCCUAUCAGCUUGUUGGUGGGGUAAUGGCCUACCAAGGCGUCGACGGGUAGCCGGCCUGAGAGGGUGUACGGCCACAUUGGGACUGAGAUACGGCCCAGACUCCUACGGGAGGCAGCAGUGGGGAAUAUUGCACAAUGGGCGCAAGCCUGAUGCAGCGACGCCGCGUGGGGGAUGACGGCCUUCGGGUUGUAAACUCCUUUCGCUAGGGACGAAGCGUUUUUGUGACGGUACCUGGAGAAGAAGCACCGGCUAACUACGUG
This 468-nucleotide ribosomal RNA is filed under the name uncultured bacterium. Its description in RNAcentral is "partial 16S ribosomal RNA". It matches the Rfam family "Bacterial small subunit ribosomal RNA", at positions 28 to 507 of the family's 1533-position model. The record is from RNAcentral.